This 466-nucleotide ribosomal RNA is filed under the name uncultured bacterium. RNAcentral describes it as "partial 16S ribosomal RNA". It matches the Rfam family "Bacterial small subunit ribosomal RNA", at positions 28 to 507 of the family's 1533-position model. The record is from RNAcentral.
GAUGAACGCUGGCGGCGUGCUUAACACAUGCAAGUCGAACGAUGAAGCCCAGCUUGCUGGGUGGAUUAGUGGCGAACGGGUGAGUAACACGUGAGUAACCUGCCCUUAACUCUGGGAUAAGCCUGGGAAACUGGGUCUAAUACCGGAUAGGAGCGCCUACCGCAUGGUGGGUGUUGGAAAGAUUUAUCGGUUUUGGAUGGACUCGCGGCCUAUCAGCUUGUUGGUGAGGUAAUGGCUCACCAAGGCGACGACGGGUAGCCGGCCUGAGAGGGUGACCGGCCACACUGGGACUGAGACACGGCCCAGACUCCUACGGGAGGCAGCAGUGGGGAAUAUUGCACAAUGGGCGAAAGCCUGAUGCAGCGACGCCGCGUGAGGGAUGACGGCCUUCGGGUUGUAAACCUCUUUCAGUAGGGAAGAAGCGAAAGUGACGGUACCUGCAGAAGAAGCACCGGCUAACUACGUG